Molecule: long non-coding RNA, 3139 nt
Filed under: Triticum aestivum (bread wheat)
Lineage: Eukaryota; Viridiplantae; Streptophyta; Magnoliopsida; Poales; Poaceae
Description: long non-coding RNA (TAES_LNC028121)
Source: RNAcentral
ACGUUAUCAUUCUUGUUAGUUCUAAGUGAAUUCCCUCGGUAUGAUAAUUUGUUCAUCAGUUUGUUCCCCGUUUCUUCUCUAGCCUGAGCCUGACACACUAUUCUAGCUAGACAUGGGUGUGGCUCGUAACACCUGAUGACCAAACGGAUCUACGACACCAUCGAAUCUCAAACUUUAACUACCAAAACUAUUGUUUUUCAUCCUCUAGUCCCUUUUAGAAUUACUAAACGUCCUUUUUUGGGCCGAGAUUUCCAGGAACGCUUUCUCGGGGUUUGUGUGCAUGUAUUUCAAACCAUACAGACCUAAAAAUUAGAAGUCAUUCCAUCUUUAUUCCCGUAGAGCCUUCCAGCAGUUCCUAAACCGCUCCAGUCGGAGCAUGUUAUCAUUCUUGUUUGUUCUGAGUGAAUUCCCUCGGUAUGAUAAUUCUAUCAUCAGUUUGUUCCCCGUUUCUUCUCUAGCCUGAGCCUGGCAAACUAUUCNNNNNNNNNNNNNNNNNNNNNNNNNNNNNNNNNNNNNNNNNNNNNNNNNNNNNNNNNNNNNNNNNNNNNNNNNNNNNNNNNNNNNNNNNNNNNNNNNNNNNNNNNNNNNNNNNNNNNNNNNNNNNNNNNNNNNNNNCUAAACCGCUCUAGUCGGAGCACGUUAUCAUUCUUGUUAGUUCUGAGUGAAUUCCCUCGGUAUGAUAAUUCUUUCAUCAGUUUGUUCCCUGUUUCUUCUCUAGCCUGAGCCUGACACACUAUUCUAGCUAGACAUGGGUGUGGCUCGUAACACCUAAUGACCAAACGGAUCGACGGCACCAUCGAAUCUCAAACUUUAACUGCCAAAACUAUUGUUUUUCAUCCUGUUGUCCCAUUUAGAAUUACUAAACGUCCUUUUUUGGGCCGAGAUUUAGAGGAACGCUUUCUCGGGGUUUGUGUGCAAGUAUUUCAAACCAUACGGACCUAAAAAUUAGAAGUCAUUCCAUCUUUAUUCCCCUAGAGCCUUCCAGCAGUUCCUAAACCGCUCAAGUCAGAGCAUGUUAUCAUUCUUGUUAGUUCUGAGUGAAUUCCCUCGGUAUGAUAAUUCUUUCAUCAGUUUGUUCCCUGUUUCUUCUCUAGCCUGAGCCUGACACACUAUUCUAGCUAGACAUGGGUGUGGCUCGUAACACCUGAUGACCAAACGGAUCUACGACACCAUUGAAUCUCAAACUUUAACUACCAAAACUAUUAUUUUUCAUCCUGUAGUCCCUUUUAGAAUUACUAAACGUCCUUUUUUGGGCCGAGAUUUCCAAGAACGCUUUCUCGUGGUUUGUGUGCAAGUAUUUCAAACCAUACAGACCUAAAAAUUAGAAGUCAUUCCAUCUUUAUGCCCGUAGAGCCUUCCAGCAGUUCCUAAACCGCUCCAGUCGGAGCACGUUAUCAUUCUUAUUAGUUCUGAGUGAAUUCCCUCAGUAUGAUAAUUCUUUCAUAAGUUUGUUCCCCAUUUCUUCUCUAGCCUGAGCCUGGCACACUAUUCUAGCUAGACAUGGGUGUGGCUCAUAACACUUGUUGACUAAAUGGAUCGACGGCACCAUCGAAUCUCAAACUUUAACUGCCAAAACUAUUGUUUUUCAUCCUGUAGUCCCAUUUAGAAUUAUUAAACGUCCUUUUUUGGGCCGAUAUUUAGAGUAAUGCUUUCUCGGGGUUUGUCUGCAAGUAUUUCAAACCAUACGGACCUAAAAAUUAGAAGUCAUUCCAUCUUUAUUCCCCUAGAGCCUUCCAGCAGUUCCUAAACCGCUCUAGUCGGAGCACGUUAUCAUUCUUGUUAGUUCUGAGUGAAUUCCCUCAGUAUGAUAAUUCUUUCAUCUGUUUGUUCCCCGUUUCUUCUCUAGCCUGAGCCUGACACACUAUUCAAGCUAGACAUGGAUGUGGCUCGUAACACCUGAUGACCAAACGGAUCUACGGCACCAUCGAAUCCCAAACUUUAACUGCCAAAACUAUUGUUUUUCAUCCUGUAGUCCCUUUUAGAAUUACUAAACGUCCUUUUUUGGGCCGAGAUUUCCAGGAAUGCUUUCUCGGGGUUUGUGUGCAAGUAUUUCAAACCAUACAAAGCUAGAAAUUAGAAGUCAUUCCAUCUUUAUUAUCGUAGAGCCUUCCAGCAGUUCCUAAACCGGUCUAGUCGGAGCACGUUAUCAUUCUAGUUAGUUCUGAGUGAAUUCCCUCGGUAUGAUAAUUCUUUCAUCAGUUUGUUCCCCGUUUCUUCUCUAGCCUGAGCCUGACAAACUAUUCUAGCUAGACAUGCGUGUGGCUCGUAACACCUGAUGACCAAACGGAUCUAUAGCACCAUCGAAUCUCAAACUUUAACUGCCAAAACUAUUGUUUUCAUCCUGUAGUCCCUUUUAGAAUUACUAAACUUCCUUUUUUGGGCCGAGAUUUAGAGGAACGCUUUCUGGGGUUUGUGUGCAAGUAUUUCAAACCAUACAGACCUAAAAAUUAGAAGUCAUUCCAUCUUUAUUCCCCUAGAGCCUUCCAGCAGUUCCUAAACCGCUCUAGUCGGAGCACGUUAUCAUUAUUGUUAGUUCUGAGUGAAUUCCCUCGGUAUGAUAAUUCUUUCAUCAGUUUGUUCCCUGUUUCUUCUCUAUCCUGAGCCUGACACACUAUUCUAGCUAGACAUGGGUGUGGCUCGUAACACCUGAUGACUAAAUGGAUCGACGGCACCAUCGAAUCUCAAACUUUAACUGCCAAAACUAUUGUUUUUCAUCCUGUAGUCCCAUUUAGAAUUAGUAAACGUCCUUUUUUGGGCCGAGAUUUAGAGGAACGCUUUCUCGGGGUUUGUGUGCAAGUAUUUCAAACCAUACGGACCUAAAAAUUAGAAGUCAUUCCAUCUUUAUUCCCCUAGUCAUCAGGUAUACACUCAAGUCGGAGCACGUUAUCAUUCUUGUUAGUUCUGAGUGAAUUCCCUCGGUAUGAUAAUUCUUUCAUAAAUUUGUUCCCCGUUUCUUAUAUGGCCUGAGCCUGACACACUAUUCUAGCUAGACAUGGGUGUGGCUCGUAACACCUGAUGACCAAACGGAUCUACGGCACCAUCAAAUCUCAAACUUUAACUGCCAAAACUAUUCUUUUUCAUUCUGUAGUCCCUUCUAGAAUUACUAAACGUCCUUUUUUGGGCCGAGAUUUCCAGGAAC